GAAAUGCGAUAAGUAAUGUGAAUUGCAGAAUUCAGUGAAUCAUCGAAUCUUUGAACGCACAUUGCGCCCCUUGGUAUUCCGGGGGGCAUGCCUGUUAGAGCGUCAUUUCAACCCUCAAGCGCAGCUUGGUGUUGGGCCCUGCCAGCGAUGGCAGGCCCUAAAAUUAGUGGCGGUGCCGCUGAGCCCUGAGCGUAGUAAUCUUCUCGCUACAGGGUAUCUGCGUGCCUUCGCCAGAACCCCCAAUUUUCUAUGGUUUGACCUCGGAUCAGGUAGGGAUACCCGCUGAACUUAA
This 292-nucleotide unclassified non-coding RNA is filed under the name uncultured Sclerotiniaceae. RNAcentral describes it as "sequence contains ITS1". The stretch from base 1 to 105 matches the Rfam family "5.8S ribosomal RNA", at positions 50 to 154 of the family's 154-position model. Lineage: Eukaryota; Fungi; Ascomycota; Leotiomycetes; Helotiales; Sclerotiniaceae. The record is from RNAcentral.